AACGAACGCUGGCGGCAUGCCUAACACAUGCAAGUCGAACGAGACCUUCGGGUCUAGUGGCGCACGGGUGCGUAACGCGUGGGAACCUGCCCUUAGGUUCGGAAUAACUCCCCGAAAGGGGUGCUAAUACCGGAUAAUGUCUUCGGACCAAAGAUUUAUCGCCUUUGGAUGGGCCCGCGUUGGAUUAGCUAGUUGGUAGGGUAAAAGCCUACCAAGGCGACGAUCCAUAGCUGGUCUGAGAGGAUGAUCAGCCACACUGGGACUGAGACACGGCCCAGACUCCUACGGGAGGCAGCAGUGGGGAAUAUUGGACAAUGGGCGAAAGCCUGAUCCAGCAAUGCCGCGUGAGUGAUGAAGGCCUUAGGGUUGUAAAGCUCUUUUACCCGGGAUGACAAUGACAGUACCGGGAGAAUAAGCUCCGGCUAACUCCGUG
RNAcentral lists this ribosomal RNA (433 nucleotides) under uncultured bacterium. RNAcentral describes it as "partial 16S ribosomal RNA". It matches the Rfam family "Bacterial small subunit ribosomal RNA", at positions 29 to 507 of the family's 1533-position model. The record is from RNAcentral.